GAUUUCUGGUUUGACAUGCCUGGCCCGCCGGGGUCACCUGUGUGAGUGCCGGUGCGCGUCUACCAUCCUUCUGUAGAACGGCCUUACCCUUCACUGGGCCGAGGUCGCGAUACAGAUCUUUUACUUUGAAAAAAUUAGAGUGUUUCAAGCAGGCUUUAUGCUAUGAAUACAUUAGCAUGGAAUAAUAAUUUAGGACUUCGGUUCUAUUUUGUUGGUUUCUAGGACUGAAGUAAUGAUUGAUAGGGAUAGUUGGGGGUGCUAGUAUUCAGCGGCCAGAGGUGAAAUUCUCGGAUUCGCUGAAGACUAACUUAUGCGAAAGCAUU
Molecule: ribosomal RNA, 323 nt
Filed under: Nudifila sp.
Lineage: Eukaryota; Cercozoa; Imbricatea
Description: SSU rRNA
Rfam family: Eukaryotic small subunit ribosomal RNA (bases 105-323)
Source: RNAcentral